CGGGGAGAUGCCAUAAUCAGGAAGGUGGUUUCCCCAAGGUGAGGUGGAUCCAUUGCACUGUGAAUGCGCAUGAUUUCUACACAUUAAAAAAAACUUUUUUAAGAUGCUG
This 109-nucleotide small nuclear RNA is filed under the name Echinops telfairi (small Madagascar hedgehog). RNAcentral's name for it is "U1 spliceosomal RNA (ENSETEG00000026523.1)". Lineage: Eukaryota; Metazoa; Chordata; Mammalia; Afrosoricida; Tenrecidae. The record is from RNAcentral.